GAUGAACGCUGGCGGCGUGCCUAAUACAUGCAAGUCGAGCGAACAGACGAGGAGCUUGCUCCUCUGACGUUAGCGGCGGACGGGUGAGUAACACGUGGAUAACCUACCUAUAAGACUGGGAUAACUUCGGGAAACCGGAGCUAAUACCGGAUAAUAUAUUGAACCGCAUGGUUCAAUAGUGAAAGACGGUUUUGCUGUCACUUAUAGAUGGAUCCGCGCCGCAUUAGCUAGUUGGUAAGGUAACGGCUUACCAAGGCAACGAUGCGUAGCCGACCUGAGAGGGUGAACGGCCACACUGGAACUGAGACACGGUCCAGACUCCUACGGGAGGCAGCAGUAGGGAAUCUUCCGCAAAGGGCGAAAGCCUGACGGAGCAACGCCGCGUGAGUGAUGAAGGUCUUCGGAUCGUAAAACUCUGUUAUUAGGGAAGAACAAAUGUGUAAGUAACUAUGCACGUCUUGACGGUACCUAAUCAGAAAGCCACGGCUAACUACGUG
Molecule: ribosomal RNA, 497 nt
Filed under: uncultured bacterium
Lineage: Bacteria
Description: partial 16S ribosomal RNA
Rfam family: Bacterial small subunit ribosomal RNA
Source: RNAcentral